AGUAGAGAUGCUACAUGUUUCAAAACCAGUAUUUAAUUCUUUGGAUUCCAUUAACAUGAUGAUGUUAUAUAUAUUAUACUAGAAUGGCGUUUACCAUAUGAUUAAUUUGAUGACUGAAAUUUAAAAAAUAUCAGGGUCAAAAUGUCAUAAGUUGCAUUCCUUAUUCCUUGCACAUUUCGAGAGUGUCUAUGAUCUUAGCAUCUUGUUGGCCGCAAACUCUACAAAAUGAAAGAAAAUUUAGAUCAAAAAUGUUAUUCUUAUUAUCUAUUUAUACCAUUUCUUUAAUAGUGAUGAAACUCACAUAUGUUGAUGGACUCUAUCUCUAUUAGAGUUGAUACAAAUGAUGGUACGAAUAGAUCGUAAGUGUAACACUACUCAAUUUAAAUUAGAAUUCGAUCGCCUCAUUAUAAUAUAUGAUGCCAAAGUUACAAAACCAAAAUAUAAUAAACCAAAAAAUAUAUGUUUCAUAAUUCAUAGUUCCCUUCUUAAAACAAACAUAUUAUAGUAAAAAAUUAUGGAAUAGUAUUUGAACAUAUUGAUUCCUCAAAACUUCAUUUUACAAUAUCGACAGAAAUUAUAAAAACAAGGUUUUAAAUUUGUAGUUUAUUGUUAGUGGUGGAUUGUCUUAUUGAUUAGGGUCUUUUUCUUUAACUCACUUAAGCACCGUGAUGUGGGACAUUUAUUUUUAAAUCCACAAUCCAAGUUCCAACAAAGAAAAAAAUUGAAGUUGCACAUAGAUGAAUGGAAUAUGAAGAAGAACAUGGAAAAUGGAAAGACAUUCUACAACUUGGCAUACACCACAAAGUGCAGAAAAUGGUAAGCAUAGAAGCAAGCAUCUCCAACAGAAUCCACAAAACUAAAUUUGAAGUACCAUGGACUGUUCACAAGAAAUGGAUCCCCACAUCAACUAUUCACAAAUAUCUAUACUGACAAUAGCCACAAAUAUCUAACAAAAACUAUGCACAAAUACAAAAAUAGUUUUAAGCUCUCGUUUGAUAAUUAUUCUAGUUUUUAAUUUCCAUUUUUCUUUUUGUAAAACCUUGUAUAAAAACUGUCUUUAAUGUUUAAUUUUCCGAAAUGAUAACUGAAAACAGAAUUCAAGCAAUUUUUAUUUUUUGGUAUUGAAUUUACCAUCCACAAUAUUUGAACUUAAACCCUUUUACUUUCAAAUGAAGAAGAAUACCAUCAGACCGUGUACUGAAUAGCUCUCAAGCAAAAUAUUAAAAAAAUACAAAAUAAUAGCUUCUAAUUCUCAAUUUAAUUAUAAAAAAUAAAAAUAAAAAUGAAAAAAUUGUUAAACAACUCCUACAAAACCCCAUUCUUAUUGAAAAAAAAAGUCAUAUAAACUACCUAUGUCAAUCACAUUAGGAAUUAACUUUAUAUAAAACUAUUCUUGCCGGCGACGAUGGUAAGUGUUAAACCAAUCCAGUUAUGAAAUGUCAUGCAUGUGUGUCAUGCACAUAGUUUGAUAUGACAAUUUUAUGAAAGCUUUUCUCUGCAUUAUGUGACAAGGAGUGUGUUAAUUACUAACUAGGCGUUGUAUAAUUCGCGUGACAUAUACGUAGACUCCACAUGCCACAUAAUCUAGCUAAUAUAGUUUAAAAAAAAAAAAAAAAGGGGGGGGGGGGG
Non-coding RNA from Malus domestica (apple), 1629 nucleotides. The record is from RefSeq and is a predicted model, not a curated record. NCBI's taxonomy places the organism in Eukaryota, Viridiplantae, Streptophyta, Magnoliopsida, Rosales, Rosaceae.